Molecule: ribosomal RNA, 41 nt
Filed under: cf. Clavulina sp. EC185 B92
Lineage: Eukaryota; Fungi; Basidiomycota; Agaricomycetes; Cantharellales; Hydnaceae
Description: partial 28S ribosomal RNA
Source: RNAcentral
GCUUUGACCUCGAAUCAGGUGGGACUACCCGCUGAACUUAA